AGCAGCCGCGGUAAUUCCAGCUCCAAUAGCGUAUAUUAAAGUUGUUGCAGUUAAAAAGCUCGUAGUUGAAUUUCGGGGUUAGUAGGUUGGUCGUGCCACUGGUACGUACUGGUCUCACUGACUCCUCCUUCCUGAUGAACUGUAAUGCCAUUAAUUUGGUGUUGCGGGGAAACUGGACUGUUACUUUGAAAAAAUUAGAGUGUUUAAAGCAAGCUAACGCUUGAAUACAUUAGCAUGGAAUAAUGAAAUAGGACGUUCGAUCCUAUUUUGCUGGUUUCUAGGAUUGACGUAAUGAUUAAUAGGGAUAGUUGGGGGCAUUAGUAUUCAAUUGUCAGAGGUGAAAUUCUUGGACUUAUUGAAGACUAACUACUGCGAAAGCAUUUGCCAAGGAUGUUUUCAUUAAUCAAGAACGAAAGUUAGGGGAUCGAAGACGAUCAGAUACCGUCGUAGUCUUAACCAUAAACUAUGCCGACUAGGGAUCGGAUGAUGUUAAUUUUUAAUGACUCAUUCGGCGCCUUAA
Molecule: ribosomal RNA, 520 nt
Filed under: uncultured Glomus
Lineage: Eukaryota; Fungi; Glomeromycota; Glomeromycetes; Glomerales; Glomeraceae
Description: SSU rRNA
Rfam family: Eukaryotic small subunit ribosomal RNA
Source: RNAcentral